GUAAGCGACACCUUAGUCUUUGUUUAGUGAAGAAAAGUGAAAAGAUGUAGGUGUCUGUCUGUCUUUAUCUCUGGCAAGCACUGCUCCUGCUCUCUGACUGUGAGUGAGUGCUGAGCGGAAGAGGAAAUAGUUCCUGUCCUGCACAGCUAUACAGCUCAUUUAUUUCAUUUCGACACUUGUGAUGUGCGGUUACUUAUUUCCAAGCCAACCUGCUAUUUUAAAAACUACUUUGAAAGAAGCAUUUAUAAUCGAUAUGAUAGCACGAGGAUCUAUCCUGAUGAAUGAAGGAAUCAGAGUAUCGCGGUUUGAAGAUCCCUCCGCCGCCCAGCUGCACUAACUCCAGCAGCGGCGACUCACACUCACAGAGCCUGCUCACGCUGCACUCCUCCGCGUGUGAGCGUGUCUACUCUCCCGCUUAAAAACAACCCUCAAACCCACCCGAGAGGCUCAAACAAGACUCUGCUCUGCUGAAGUCGAUAGCUGUGCGUGUGGUGACUAAAUAUGAAGGCCAAGCUUCAUUCCGACGGGCCUCAGAGUUGCUCCAACAGCGACGAGGAGGAGACGGACAGCCUCAGCGACAGCCAGUAUAUCGUUGUCAAGCUUGAAGAUGAAGAGGAAGAUCCAGAAACCGAGAUGGAUCUGAGUAUAUUCGCUCCUGUCGAGUCCUCGGAGUGUGAGGAGGAGGAAGAGGAUGAAGGGGAGCUCUCAGAGUCGUCCAGUGUUUCUAGCUGGAGAAGGACAGACACCAGAGAGAGAGAUAACCCGGAGGAUCCAGCGCCCCUUGAGCAACAGUCUUCCAGGAGGUGUUUAAAAGGACAGCGACGGAGCCGACAGACCUUUCUGGCUGCGCAGAGACACAAGCAGAGUCUGGACUGUAGUGCAGCAAGCAGGGCCGUGAAUGUCGGACUCCCGUCUGAGAAUCACACAUUUUGCCAAGCUGCUCCUCCGUUUGAUUCAGCCCGAGGUCCUGUAGAGACGUCUGGACUGGACACAGCAAUCAGCCCUUUAGCUGCCAUGGAGCCUCCUGUAUUUCCAAAUGCACCAGUACAGAGCACAUCUGUCGUCGGGGAGGAUCAGCAGAAUAUACUACUCGAGGUCCUGAACCAUUGUAGGUUCCUGCAUGCAGCAGUGCAGAGGCUUGAGCAGAAGAUUGACAGACAGAUGUCAAAUGAGCCAUUAUAUGAAAAAAGCUCAGAGAUGCUGAAGAAUGGUCCAAAGAGAAGGGCGUCUCUGCGUGUUGAAGAAAGGCAGCUGUCCUGGUCUUUGGCCCAGAGACUUGAUCCACCAGUCCAGAGAAACCCACGCUGGAUCCCUCCCUGGAAACGAGGGCUGGACAGGGCGGAUCUUCAGCAGGCUGACAACAGCAGCCCUCAGCCGGGCAAACCUCCUGGCGGCGGACGAGGCAGAGGCAGGGGCAGAGGACGGGGUCGCAGGGGGCGCGGUAACGGAUCCCAGCGCCAGUCUCAAACUCCUGAUCCUGCUUCACUCAUGUCAAAGCCCAAUGGAGAAGAGGUCUGCACUGCAUCCACAGAUGACCCCCAGCCGUCCCAGGUAAUGAAGGACAGCUCUCCGGCUAACACAGGCUCAAAGCUUCAGCAGAAAAGAAAGAAAUCCUUUACUCAGGUGGACGGGGAGGAUGAAAAUGAACUGGAGAAGAUGCCCAAGAGUAAAGAGGCCACACUCGAAGUUCAGGUUGACAGCAAAGGUAGGAUGUAAAUAAGAUUGCCUGAGAUGAAGGAAUAAUCAAUUAAAAGUGUAGUUUCAUGG
This is a long non-coding RNA of Sinocyclocheilus grahami, 1767 nucleotides long. Ensembl lists it as uncharacterized. The record is from Ensembl. NCBI's taxonomy places the organism in Eukaryota, Metazoa, Chordata, Actinopteri, Cypriniformes, Cyprinidae.